RNAcentral lists this transfer RNA (99 nucleotides) under Microbacterium oxydans. Its description in RNAcentral is "tRNA-Arg". Lineage: Bacteria; Bacillati; Actinomycetota; Actinomycetes; Micrococcales; Microbacteriaceae. The record is from RNAcentral.
UGCGGUCGGCAGACUGGUUGUCGCCCUCGCCCGAGUUCUCGGCGGGAGCGCCAUCGGCGAACGUCGAGCCGACGGGGUUCGAGCCCCCGCGACGGCGAC